UUACGGGGUGCUGCAGUGAGGAAUAUUGCACAAUGGGGGGAACCCUGAUGCAGCAACGCCGCGUGGAGGAUGACGCAUUUCGGUGUGUAAACUCCUUUUAUAUGUCAAGAAAAUGACGGUAGCAUAUGAAUAAGCACCGGCUAACUCCGUGCCAGCAGCCGCGGUAAUACGGAGGGUGCAAGCGUUACUCGGAAUCACUGGGCGUAAAGGACGCGUAGGCGGGUUGGAAAGUCAGGUAUGAAAUCCUACAGCUUAACUGUAGAACUGCACUUGAAACUUCUAAUCUAGAGUAUGGGAGGGGGAGAUGGAAUUAGUGGUGUAGGGGUAAAAUCCGUAGAUAUCACUAGGAAUACCUAAAGCGAAGGCGAUCUCCUGGAACAUUACUGACGCUAAGGCGUGAAAGCGUGGGGAGCAAACAGGAUUAGAUACCCCGGUAGUC
RNAcentral lists this ribosomal RNA (439 nucleotides) under uncultured bacterium. RNAcentral's name for it is "partial 16S ribosomal RNA". It matches the Rfam family "Bacterial small subunit ribosomal RNA", at positions 339 to 795 of the family's 1533-position model. The record is from RNAcentral.